Hibiscus syriacus is the source of this 157-nucleotide long non-coding RNA. RefSeq lists it as uncharacterized. The transcript has 3 exons. The record is from RefSeq and is a predicted model, not a curated record. NCBI's taxonomy places the organism in Eukaryota, Viridiplantae, Streptophyta, Magnoliopsida, Malvales, Malvaceae.
UUUCUUUUCUCUUUUCUUCAAGUAAUGAAAAAUUCAGAAAAAAGAAUCAGGAAUUAGGGUUUUCUGAAAGGAAAUUAAUCGGCAAGGAGAGAACCAAAAAUGAACAGCCAAGGGCGGAGCUCAGGUAAAGCUAAUACAUCCCGUGUUAGAAUAGAAA